UCCUUGGUGGCUCAGUUGGUAGAGCAUGAGACUCUUCAUGCCAGGGUCGUGGGUUCGAGCCUCAUGUUGGGCA
Molecule: transfer RNA, 73 nt
Filed under: Podarcis lilfordi (Lilford's wall lizard)
Lineage: Eukaryota; Metazoa; Chordata; Lepidosauria; Squamata; Lacertidae
Description: tRNA.Lys
Source: RNAcentral